Molecule: RNA transcript, 1484 nt
Organism: Daphnia magna
Lineage: Eukaryota; Metazoa; Arthropoda; Branchiopoda; Diplostraca; Daphniidae
Gene name: RNA-binding protein squid
Exons: 7
Source: RefSeq, a predicted model, not a curated record
CAUCUUCUUUUUCAGAAACGCGUCACAUCCGCUGCGUCUCUUGUAAUUUUAGGGAGUUCAAUCGUUCCUUCGUUUCUGUCUUUUGGAAACCUAAAUCGACGUGUUAACAGAAAAUGGCUGCUAAUCAAGAUUAUACAGAGGAUAUGGCCCAAGGAGACUUCAGCAAUGAAGGUUAUGGUGAUUUUCAAGAGCCGGAAUCGCAGCCGCAAGUGCAGGAAAAUGCUGAAUUAAAUGGUAACGAGGCAAUGGAAGAAACUACUAAUGGCGAUGGACAUGAGGAUUCCUCCUCCCAAGACCCGUUGGGGAAAGAUGAAGAUCGGAAACUCUUCGUUGGCGGUCUCAGCUGGGCUACAACAGACAAGGAAUUACGAGAGCAUUUUGGAAAAUACGGUGAAAUAGAGAGCAUAACGGUAAAAAUGGAUCCCCAGACAGGAAGAUCUAGGGGUUUUGCAUUUUUAGUUUUCAAGUCCGCCGAAAAUUUAGACAAGGUUAUGAAUGCCGGAGAACAUAUAAUUAAUGGCAAACGAGUGGAUCCAAAAAAAGCUAAAGCACGCUCUGGAAAGAUAUUUGUUGGAGGUUUACCUCAAGAUACCACUGAAGAAACUAUUCGUUCAUUUUUUGGAACCUUUGGAAAUAUUGUCGAAAUCGAAAUGCCAUUUGAUCGUGUUAAGAACCAACGGAAAAAUUUCUGCUUUAUAACAUAUGACAAUGAAAAUGUUGUGUUUGAUUUACUGAAGACACCCAAGCAAGUUAUCAAUGGUAAAGAAGUUGAUGUUAAAAAGGCAACGCCCAAACCAGAUUCCUUUGGACCACCAGCAAUGAGAGGUGGAAGAGGCGGUCCUGGUGGAAUGCGUGGUGCACCACGUGGACGAGGGGUAAGUAACAAAAAGAAAUCUUCUGUCAACAGCGAGAUUAAACUAGAAUAUAUAUGUAUGUAUAAAUAUAAUAUUUAUUUUUAGCAUGGGGCGGUUGGGGUGGUCAAGGCGGGUACGCUGCUGGAGGAUAUGGAGCUGGAUAUGCAGGAGGCUACGGAGGCGGCUAUGGUGGAGGCUACGGAUACGGCGAAGGAUAUGGAUACGACUACUACGGAGGCGGAUAUGAUUCGUACGGAGCUUAUGGUGACUACAGUUACGGCGGAUAUGGUUAAGAUUGAUUUUUAAAUGCGGUCAAGGUCAACAGUACAGCGGAGGUAAACAGCGUGGCGCUGGACGCCAGGCACCGAGGCAUCAACCUUAUUAAGAAUGUUAAUCAGUCGAUCCGGUCCUGCAAUAGAAAUGCCAUGUGUGUGUGUGUGUGUGUGUUUUUUUUUUUUUUUUUUUUCUGCUCCCAUUGACAGGACACUGUACAAACAGUUUUAUUGUCUGCACCUCUUUCUCAAUUUGGUAUAAACCUGUCUCAUUUUAUUUGUCACUCGAAACCAUCGAUCAACUUGAUUACAUUCUAAAUCAUUGGAAAAUACUCGGAUUACAUUUUUGUAAAUUGUU